UCCCUUAUAGCUUAGUCAGUAAAGAAUCUGCCUGCAAUGCAGGAGACCCGGGUUCAAUUCCUGGCUUGGGAA
RNAcentral lists this transfer RNA (72 nucleotides) under Bos taurus (domestic cattle). It matches the Rfam family "tRNA". Rfam says of the family: Transfer RNA (tRNA) molecules are approximately 80 nucleotides in length. Their secondary structure includes four short double-helical elements and three loops (D, anti-codon, and T loops). RNAcentral also lists the same sequence under 5 other names. Lineage: Eukaryota; Metazoa; Chordata; Mammalia; Artiodactyla; Bovidae. The record is from Rfam by way of RNAcentral.